UGAGAUAUGGUGUAAUGGCUAGCACUAGGGAUUUUGGUUCCCUCAGUUCAGGUUCGAGUCCUGAUAUCUCAA
This 72-nucleotide transfer RNA is filed under the name Bacteroidota bacterium. Its description in RNAcentral is "tRNA-Gln". It matches the Rfam family "tRNA". Rfam says of the family: Transfer RNA (tRNA) molecules are approximately 80 nucleotides in length. Their secondary structure includes four short double-helical elements and three loops (D, anti-codon, and T loops). Further hydrogen bonds mediate the characteristic L-shaped molecular structure. tRNAs have two regions of fundamental functional importance: the anti-codon, which is responsible for specific mRNA codon recognition, and the 3' end, to which the tRNAs corresponding amino acid is attached (by aminoacyl-tRNA synthetases). tRNAs cope with the degeneracy of the genetic code in two manners: having more than one tRNA (with a specific anti-codon) for a particular amino acid; and 'wobble' base-pairing, i.e. permitting non-standard base-pairing at the 3rd anti-codon position. The record is from RNAcentral. Lineage: Bacteria; Pseudomonadati; Bacteroidota. RNAcentral also lists the same sequence under 2 other names.